UAAAUACUAUUGAAUGAAUGAAUGAAUGAAUGAAUGAAUGAAUCUUCCUGCAUCCUCUUGCUCUCCGACGGUUUCCCUCAUUUCUCGUAAUCGCCCAGGCUGACCCACUUCGGGCACUGUGGAAAGGGUAAUAAGAUCACAAACUUUUCAUCAGAAUAUUUGGGCUUAAUGUGGGCUCUUAACGUUCUCAAGUUAAUUCCCUCUGGCCCUCACAGAAUGAUGAUGAAGGACAUUUUUGGGUGACGUUUCCAGGGACGGUUGUCUCGGCCGUUAUGAGGAUUGGAAUUGGCUUAAAGAUUGAAAAAAAAAAAAAAAAAGCAUUUUGGAAGUCCUCGACACAAUUUUAAGUGUUUUCUAUCGUUAACUGUGUGUAAAAUUAUAAUGUUUAUUGAAAUUAUGUGGUAUUAAUAUUUGCAGAGUUUAAUUAAUUGAAUUCCUUUUAAAAUGUGGAUCAUAUUUACGGCAUAAUUUGGGUAACCAAACACUUUUAUUUUGAAGUUAAUUCAAUUUAAACAUGCAGCUAUUAGGCAGGAAGUUUUCUUUUAAUAAAAGUCAUAUGCGUAGAACAGCAUUUUUACAUUUCAACAUAAAUCAGGUCUGUGAUGUAACCGUUUGAUGUGCGCCCUCCGCUUGUUGAAAUCGAUGUUCCCAUGAAAAUCAGUCACGUCACAUGGGCCAAGCAUUUUAUACCUCUGAGGACAACCGCUUAAAUAUUAGAGCUCGUAACUGCCUGGGCAGGGCAUGAGGAAUGGAGAGCGGCUCCCCAGCCGGCACGUUGAUCGAAGGGAUUUUAAGAGAAAGACGACACACGGCAUCGGUCCCCAGGCUCGACCUUACGGCUUGCUGCAAAGUGUGUGGUGUAGAACGGCACAAACUACACAAUCCCCGCCCUCCUUCCUCUGAAGCCAACCUUCUAGGUGAUGAAAUUGUCGAAUCUGGAAGUCAGAGUUCCUGAUUAGGCAAGUUGUGGUUAUUUUUUACUUUUAAUCAAAUUUUUCUUGGCACUUUUAAGUUACAGUUGUCAUGGUUUAGAGAGAAAAACAUUCACUUUCCUUCCUACCGGUGUUGGAUAAAAAAAAAAAAAUUAUGGUGAAACACGGAAGGAGCGUGGCACGGUGGAAAAUACAUGAACCUGGGUUCUAAUCUAGGCUCCACCACUUGCUAGUUGCGUGACCUUGGACUUGUCAAUUAAC
Long non-coding RNA from Ornithorhynchus anatinus (platypus), 1193 nucleotides. RefSeq lists it as uncharacterized. The transcript is spliced from 3 exons. The record is from RefSeq and is a predicted model, not a curated record. NCBI's taxonomy places the organism in Eukaryota, Metazoa, Chordata, Mammalia, Monotremata, Ornithorhynchidae.